RNAcentral lists this long non-coding RNA (448 nucleotides) under Mytilus galloprovincialis (Mediterranean mussel). Lineage: Eukaryota; Metazoa; Mollusca; Bivalvia; Mytilida; Mytilidae. The record is from RNAcentral.
UGUGCCUAAAAUGCAUAUACAUUCUUCAACAUCUGAUUUGUGUUUGUAUGAAUUAUUUACAAUGGAAAACCAACUUUGCCAAAUUUAUUUAAUGUUGUAUCUUAAGAAAAAAAAUACUGCUGCCAAAUUCCAAAUUUCAAGGACUUUUUAUUUUUUAUUUAAAUUUUUUUUCUCUAGUUUUUAUUCUUUUGUUUUUGUUUUGCUUUUGUGUUUUAUUUAUUUAUUAUUUUCUCUUCUCUUCUCACUUUCUCUCUUAAAUAAAAUACUCACUCAAUUGAUCAACAUUGAAAUAAUUGAUACACAAUAUACUGUAUAUAUAUUUUAUAAUUUUGAAUACUAACAAUUACUAACAAUUUUUCUAAAUAUACAAUCUAAUGUUUAACGAGGCCGGGAUAAGGUACCGGUACUUUCGGUAUCAAACUAACAAAUGUGAAAGUUUUCAAUUAAG